RNAcentral lists this ribosomal RNA (223 nucleotides) under uncultured eukaryote. Its description in RNAcentral is "partial small subunit ribosomal RNA". It matches the Rfam family "Eukaryotic small subunit ribosomal RNA", at positions 1208 to 1456 of the family's 1831-position model. The record is from RNAcentral.
GGGAAACUCACCAGGUCCAGACACAAUAAGGAUUGACAGAUUGAGAGCUCUUUCUUGAUUUUGUGGGUGGUGGUGCAUGGCCGUUCUUAGUUGGUGGAGUGAUUUGUCUGCUUAAUUGCGAUAACGAACGAGACCUUGGCCUCUAACUAGGGUGCGCAGCGGUAGCUACGCGACCUUCUUAGGGGGACUAUUGAUGUAAGUCGAUGGAAGUUCGAGGCAAUAA